GACGAACGCUGGCGGCGUGCUUAACACAUGCAAGUCGAACGGAAAGGCCCUGCUUGCAGGGUACUCGAGUUGCGAACGGGUGAGUAACACGUGGGUGAUCUGCCCUGCACUUCGGGAUAAGCCUGGGAAACUGGGUCUAAUACCGGAUAGGAGCCAUUUUUAGUGUGAUGGUUGGAAAGUUUUUUCGGUGUAGGCUGAGCUCGCGGGCUAUCAGCUUGUUGGUGGGGUAAUGGCCUACCAAGGCGGCGGCGGGUAGCCGGCCUGGGUGGGUGGACGGCCACAAUGGGACUGAGGGACGGCCCAGAUUGCGAAGGGAGGCAGCAGGGGGGAAUAUUGCACAAGGGGCGCAAGGCUGAUGCAGCGACGCCGCGUGGGGGAUGACGGCCUUAGGGUUGUAAACUCCUUGCGCUAGGGACGAAGCUUUUUGUGACGGUACCUAGAGAAGAAGCACCGGCUAACUACGUG
This 465-nucleotide ribosomal RNA is filed under the name uncultured bacterium. RNAcentral's name for it is "partial 16S ribosomal RNA". It matches the Rfam family "Bacterial small subunit ribosomal RNA", at positions 28 to 507 of the family's 1533-position model. The record is from RNAcentral.